GAUAAAGUACAUAAAAAAUAUAAGAAAUCUACACAACAGAAAUUUAUAAAAAAGUUUUCUCCCCACUCUAAAAAUAAAAAGAAAAUACCAGUAUGUUAUAAAUGUGAAAAACUUGGCCACUAUAAGCACCAAUGUAAAUUAAAAAAGAAAAUAGAUGCACUACAACUAGAUGAGUCAGUAAAAUCAAAAUUAUAUCAUAUUAUCAAUUAUGAUACAUCCUCUUCAAAUACAGAUUCCAAUGAAUCUUUAAUAGGAAAUAUCCAAGAAGAUAAUUUUAUAUGGACAUAAUCAUCUGAUUCUUCAGAUUCUUCUACUAAUACAGAAUCAUCUCAUCCAAUGCAAG
RNAcentral lists this long non-coding RNA (343 nucleotides) under Amborella trichopoda. RNAcentral's name for it is "long non-coding RNA (ATRI_LNC001479)". The record is from RNAcentral. Lineage: Eukaryota; Viridiplantae; Streptophyta; Magnoliopsida; Amborellales; Amborellaceae.